RNAcentral lists this transfer-messenger RNA (355 nucleotides) under Armatimonadota. RNAcentral describes it as "GCA-020344235 sp020344235 X1 Standard tmRNA". It matches the Rfam family "transfer-messenger RNA". From Rfam's summary of the family: Bacterial tmRNA, also known as 10Sa RNA or SsrA, is named for its dual tRNA and mRNA-like properties. Its role is to liberate the mRNA from a stalled ribosome. RNAcentral also lists the same sequence under 1 other name. The record is from RNAcentral. Lineage: Bacteria; Bacillati.
GGGGGCGAACGGAUUCGACGGUGGUCUGGAAGCCGCAGGACGCGAGCCGAGUCGCGUGAUCUCGACAAAACGCGCAGCCAAACAACCGCCAACAGCACAAACUGUCUGGCACUCGCCGCCUAAUCAGCGGCGACGUCCUCCCGUCCGGGCUAGCAGGACGGCUUGGGCGUAAGAGCAGCUAGCUUGCCCGGAACCCCGAGGUUCGUAGGGGUGAGGGGAGAACAACAACGAACUAGCCUUUGAGGAAGCCGGCCUGCGGGCGUCCUCUGGGGCGAAGACAGAACGCAGGACACGCUCGUAGGGGUCUGCGGGGACUGUCCGCCGGACGUGGGUUCGAUUCCCACCGCCUCCACCA